ACGGCCAUACUACCCUGAACACGCCCAUCUCGUCUGAUCUCGGAAGCUAAGCAGGGUCGGGCUUGGUUAGUACCUGGAUGGGAGAUCUGUGACUGAGUUGCAAAACGAU
Molecule: ribosomal RNA, 109 nt
Filed under: Propithecus coquereli (Coquerel's sifaka)
Lineage: Eukaryota; Metazoa; Chordata; Mammalia; Primates; Indriidae
Source: RNAcentral